AGCGCGUGAAGCUGCUGACGCCUCGGUGUGAGUUUGCGGGAACAGCGCGUGCCUUCCGUUUGGCGCUCCAGCAGAAAUGUUGGUGGUCUCAGUCAAGUCCCGCUCACUUCCCGUCCCACAUUAAAAACACUUUCCGCCGUCAGUGUCAGUGUCAGUCUGUCUGUGUGUCUGAGUUUGUGUGUCCUCGCGCUGCAGACAGCUCGUGCAGCACACCUGGAGAAAACUGAUCUGUAUUUAAAUGAUGGCGGGUGUCACGUGGAUCCUGACCGUUCUGUGUGCUGCGGGAUGUCACCUGUCUUCAGCCUCACCUGUUCACAGCUCCACCCUGGUGGUGCCCGUGGGCCACAACGUCUUUCUGCUCUGCAACGUGACGCCCAGCGAUGAGAUCACCUGGUACCUGCUGCGCUCAGAGCAGCUGCUGCCUCUGUUAACUGUUAAAAAGGGGAAGUUUGUUGACACCACUGACAAUCACACAAACAACCAUCGGAUGAACUGUAACGGGACGCUGCAGACCGGCCUGGUCAGCCUGGAGAUCCAGGAGGUGGAGGAGGAGGAUGCUGGGCUGUACUUCUGCAUCGGGAGGUUUGCAGCUAAGAUGCACGUUAACAGAGGAAUUCAGCUGACUGUGGACGGCUACAGCGAGCUUCAGUUCUUGGCAUCGAUCCUCCGGGUCUGUGGAUCUCUGCUGCAGACCUGAGUGAAGUUGGCCCCCACCUUCUACAGACCAAACAAAAUUGAUGUGAAACAUGUGCGCUACAUUUGUGCUGAUUUUGU
Long non-coding RNA from Oreochromis aureus, 774 nucleotides. The record is from Ensembl. NCBI's taxonomy places the organism in Eukaryota, Metazoa, Chordata, Actinopteri, Cichliformes, Cichlidae.